CUGGGAUCCAGUCAGAGUUCACUGAAAACGAAAGUGAAAAUUUGAUUAAACGUUUUUUUUUUCAUGUUUUAAGGCAAAUACAAAGGAUUAUUUGACCCGGGAGGAACUGUAAAGAACCAGCCAGACAGCCCGCCCGCCGAGCUGCCCACCCGGCCGAGCUGUACUUUGUGUAUGCCAACAUGCCGACACGCUGUAUUUUGUUAGUACUUCAAGAUCAUAUAAUGGAAAAUUGAAGUAUAAUUUGACGAGCCUGGUUGCUGUAGCCACAGGGGAAUUUUCAAGGACAAGAACCAGUGCUGGUAAAAAUGUGGUCUCAUGUGGUUUUCCAUACCGGCAUUCAGCAAGGAUUUCAGAGAAAGGAAUACUGUCUCCAUAUCAUGAUGUGCCAAUAAGCUUCAGUAAGCUGUGCCUUUUUCCUCCCACCGGUAGUCCUUCAAUCUGAAUCCAGGAGAUGCAGCUCUGAAUACAAUAUUUCAGGAGAAUGAAUAUUAUGUGCUGCAUAUAGCCUGCAGAUGAACUAUAUGAGUUUGAAGUCUGUUCCCCCCUCUAUCAUGCAAUGAAUAUUAAUGUCUAUGUAUGUGGUACAUGUACUGUCAGAAAACUGAAGCCUUCAUGAAGUCAAUGCCACCAUGGUAUUGAUUUAUUCAGCUCUGAUGUACUCAGCUGUGAUAUAACAUGCCUUCAAGCCACUAUCCGAAGAUCAUUCAGACGUUUUAAAUGGACCAUUGCCCUGUUGCCAUGGAAAUCAUUAUGAGGAGGAGCACACAAACUGUCACUUGUUUUGGAUAUCAGAUGUACCACAAACUGACCAUAAACUUUUCAGAUGCUCUGUUUAUUUCAUCAGCCAAUUUCGAUGUAAAUUUUACUGAAUAAUGACAAACAGUCUUACUCAUAAGCAUCUCUUACUCAUUCGUAUUCCACAACUAAACAUGCUUGCAAUUACACUGUGCCAUCUAUCAUAAUAUAGCAAUGCUGCAAUGUCCACAUUUUUUUUUGUACCAGUUUUUGCUUUAUACUGAAACUUUUAUUGAAAAUGGUGCAUAAACACUGACAACACAUCAAUGUUUCGUUCAUACAUUUGUACAUGUUCUUUCAGUGUUGAUAAUGUUGACAUAUUUCAUGUACAUUUACACAUGUGUUUAUUGCCAACCUCAUCAAAACAUGCAUCGUUUGCUCACAUACAUAUUUCCAAAACAGACAUUUACUGAAUGUAUUACUACUUUACGUUGAUUUUGAUAUGUAAAUAAAACAUUGUACUACUUGUUUGUACAACACACUUUUCAUUUGCUAUGUUGUUUGUUUUCCAUGUUCAGUCUGCAUAGAGAUGGUAUUAUCAUAUCAAUUUUUAGCUCGACUAUUCGUAGAAUAUGGAGAGCUAUACUACUCACCCAAGUGUCGGCGUCACACCUUGGUUAAGGAUUUGCGUGCAAGCACACAUAGGUUAAUAUCGCAGUAUCUCAGUUACUUCUUGAGGUAUCGCAUUGAGACUUGAUACAAUGGAACCAUCCAACCUACUUAAUUAACCAAGUUAGAUAACUCUACUUUGCAUUUAAUGCAAAUUAUAGUCUUUUAUUAUUUGACAUAGAAAUUCUGGUUAAGGUUUUGCGUGCAAGCACACAUAGGUAAAUAUCUCAUUAAGUACUUGAGGUAUUGCACUGAGACUUGAUACAAUGGUACUCAACAGUCCAAUCUACUGAAUUAACAAAGUUAUAUAACUGUAGUUUGCAUUUAAUCCAAAUAAUAGGACUUUAUUAUUCGACUUAGAAAUUCAGGUUAAGGUUUUGUGUGCAAGCACACAUAGGUUAAUAUCUCAGCAGCUACUUGAUGUAUUGCAUUGAGACAUGUUGCAAGGUACUUAACCAUCCAACCUAAUUAAUUAACCAAGUAAGAUAACUUGACUUUGCAUUUAAUGCAAAUGAUAGGCCUUUAUUAUUCGACAUAGAUAUUUUGAUUAAGGUUUUGUGUGCAAGCACACAUUAUAUAAAUACCAAAGCAACUACUUGAUGUAUUGCAUUGAGACUCAUACAAUUGUACUCAACCAUCAAACUUCCUCAUGUAAGAUAGCUCUAGUUUCAUUAAAUGCAAAUAGUUGCCCUUUAUUAUUCGACAUAGAAAUUCUAGUUAAGGUUUUGUGUGUAAGCACACAUAGGUAAAUUUCUCAGCAACUACUCGAUGUAUUGCAUUGAGACUUUAUAGAAUGGUAUUCAACCACUAAAUGUCAUUGAAUAACCAAGAUAUAUAACUGUAUUUUGCAAAUAAUUGCCCUUUAUUAUUAGACUUAAACAUUCUGGUUGAAAUUUUCCAUGUAACCACAUUUAUGUUUAUAUCUCACCACAUGAUUUGCAUUGAAAUCUUAUCUUAUCCAUGCAUGUUUCGCCAAAACUUUUCAAUCCUUACACUGAAAAGCGGCGGAAUAGUCGAGCCCGCUGUCUCUGUGCCAGCUCUUGUUCAAAAUUAACGUGAUGUUCAUUUCCAUUGUGAAACUUAUCCCUUGGGAACGUUCAAACAUAUUCUACAUACAUUAUUUUUUAUCUUAUAUACGUUCUAUAUGUAUAUAUCACGCCUAAUAAAAUUGAAGCCUGUCAA
Mya arenaria is the source of this 2586-nucleotide long non-coding RNA. RefSeq lists it as uncharacterized. The record is from RefSeq and is a predicted model, not a curated record. NCBI's taxonomy places the organism in Eukaryota, Metazoa, Mollusca, Bivalvia, Myida, Myidae. The transcript is spliced from 5 exons.